GAUGAAGAACGCAGCGAAAUGCGAUAAGUAGUGUGAAUUGCAGAAUUCAGUGAAUCAUCGAAUCUUUGAACGCACAUUGCGCCCUUUGGUAUUCCUUAGGGCAUGCCUGUUCGAGCGUCAUUUAAACCUUCAAGCUCAGCUUGGUGAUGGGUGACUGUCCUCCCCUCGCGGGGGGACUCGCCUCAAAAACAUUGGCGGCCGGUACAUUGGCUUCGAGCGCAGCAGAAACGCGGUCUCGAGUCCGGUGGAUCGGCUCCCAUAAGUCUAUUCUUUUAUUUUGACCUCGGAUCAGGUAGGGAUACCCGCUGAACUUAAGCAUACAAUAAGCGGAGGA
Molecule: unclassified non-coding RNA, 334 nt
Filed under: soil metagenome
Description: partial contains 5.8S ribosomal RNA, internal transcribed spacer 2, and large subunit ribosomal RNA
Rfam family: 5.8S ribosomal RNA (bases 1-120)
Source: RNAcentral